Lycium barbarum (goji berry) is the source of this 1116-nucleotide long non-coding RNA. RefSeq lists it as uncharacterized. The transcript is spliced from 2 exons. The record is from RefSeq and is a predicted model, not a curated record. NCBI's taxonomy places the organism in Eukaryota, Viridiplantae, Streptophyta, Magnoliopsida, Solanales, Solanaceae.
UUUACUAUAACCAUAACCAAACCAAAUAUUAUCGGUUUUUCAAAUUUAAAACCAAACCAAACCAAACUAAACCAAAUGUCGGUUAUUUUAUUCGGUUUGAUUAAAUUUUCGGUUUGAUUUUGAUUUUAACCAAAACUGUGAACAGCCCUAAUCAUUACUCUUCUGUUCUCAAUACUCAAUCAGUUGGGAUAAAUGUGCAAAUCCUAAUACCAAAGCUAUACAACCUAGAAAAAAAAUUCCAAAUACUAACCUAUACUUUUCAUAUACGAUACGAACCAAUACUUUUCAUAUACAGUAUUUGUAAACUCCCCAUUUCUUAUUGGUCAUCAAAUAGGUGUGUAUAACGUCCAAUUUUUUUUAUUCUACUGGUCAUCAAAAAGGUGACUGUCAGAACCCUACACUGUUAAGAAGAAGGAGAGAAGUAGAAUUAUAAAUACCCAUCAGAACACGUCGUUGCCAUAACCUCUUCUCCAAACACACCACCGUCUCCUUCUCCACCAAAACCAUCAAAUUUUCACUAAUCUUUCUUCCAAAAUGUCUGACGGGAGCCGUUCAUCUAACACAAGGGGCAACGUAAAAUGUUAUUGUGGCUUCAUUGCUAAAAACUUUGUUUCAACAACUACAAGUAACUAACCGAAGGAAAUUCUACAAAUGUCCGAGGUCCAAGGCCAGCUCAUGCGGAAUUUGGGAAUGGGAAGAUCAUUUGUUCGCGGAAUGGGACUAAUGUUCAAGAUUUAGGGUCGUUGUUGAAUGUGGCUAACAACGAAAGGGACAAAUUGAAAGAAGAAUUAAUUGCCAUUGAGGCUAGACACCUCCAACAAUUGAACAAAAUCAAGGAAGAAUUAUUUGCCUCAGAGAGUAGACACCAAUAUGAAGUGGAAAAAAUCAUAAAGUUGGAGGAGAAACUUGCGAAUACGAGAAUGUUGGUUUUGAUUUCAUGGGGAAUUUUUAUUGGAUUUGUGGUUGCGUUUAUGAUGAAGUGAAUUUCAUGUUGACCUUUUUGUUGUGUUUUGCUAUGAUCUUGUAAUCUUGUAGUUGAUUUUUAGGUAAUUAAGAACUAUAAUUAAUACUUGUAAUCUAAUUGUCAUGGAUGAUGGUUGUAUGAAGUAUUUUGUA